GAUGAACGCUGGCGGCGUGCCUAAUACAUGCAAGUCGAGCGAACGGACGAGAAGCUUGCUUCUCUGAUGUUAGCGGCGGACGGGUGAGUAACACGUGGAUAACCUACCUAUAAGACUGGGAUAACUUCGGGAAACCGGAGCUAAUACCGGAUAAUAUUUUGAACCGCAUGGUUCAAAAGUGAAAGACGGUCUUGCUGUCACUUAUAGAUGGAUCCGCGGUGCAUUAGCUAGUUGGUAAGGUAACGGCUUACCAAGGCAACGAUGCAUAGCCGACCUGAUAGGGUGAUCGGCCACACUGGAACUGAGACACGGUCCAGACUCCUACGGGAGGCAGCAGUAGGGAAUCUUCCGCAAUGGGCGAAAGCCUGACGGAGCAACGCCGCGUGAGUGAUGAAGGUCUUCGGAUCGUAAAACUCUGUUAUUAGGGAAGAACAUAUGUGUAAGUAACUGUGCACAUCUUGACGGUACCUAAUCAGAAAGCCACGGCUAACUACGUG
This 497-nucleotide ribosomal RNA is filed under the name uncultured bacterium. RNAcentral's name for it is "partial 16S ribosomal RNA". It matches the Rfam family "Bacterial small subunit ribosomal RNA", at positions 28 to 507 of the family's 1533-position model. The record is from RNAcentral.